AGCAGCCGCGGUAAUUCCAGCUCCAAUAGCGUAUAUUAAAGUUGUUGCAGUUAAAAAGCUCGUAGUUGAAUUUCGGGAUCAAUAUGUUGGUCGUGCCUUGGUACGUACUGGCAUUAUUGGUUUCUACCUUCUGAAGAACCUCGAUGUCAUUAAUUUGGUGUCUUGGGGAAUCAGGACUGUUACUUUGAAAAAAUUAGAGUGUUUAAAGCAAGCUAACGCUUGAAUACAUUAGCAUGGAAUAAUGAAAUAGGACGUUCGAUCCUAUUUUGUUGGUUUCUAGGAUUGACGUAAUGAUUAAUAGGGAUAGUUGGGGGCAUUAGUAUUCAAUUGUCAGAGGUGAAAUUCUUGGAUUUAUUGAAGACUAACUACUGCGAAAGCAUUUGCCAAGGAUGUUUUCAUUAAUCAAGAACGAAAGUUAGGGGAUCGAAGACGAUCAGAUACCGUCGUAGUCUUAACCAUAAACUAUGCCGACUAGGGAUCGGAUGAUGUAAUUUUUUAAUGACUCA
RNAcentral lists this ribosomal RNA (506 nucleotides) under uncultured Glomeraceae. RNAcentral's name for it is "SSU rRNA". It matches the Rfam family "Eukaryotic small subunit ribosomal RNA", at positions 569 to 1078 of the family's 1831-position model. The record is from RNAcentral. Lineage: Eukaryota; Fungi; Glomeromycota; Glomeromycetes; Glomerales; Glomeraceae.